GCACUGAACUCCCAGACUUAGCUGGGCCUCAGUGCUCUUCUCGGGUUUGGUCGUAGAGCCCAAGAGGAGGUGGAUAAGCUGCCUGACACUGAUAUAGUAAAAGGAUUAUCUGCAAAUUUCUAGCAUCAUCAAGGUUGGCCUCUUUGAAGAGAUCAGCAAUGUGUUUAGAUGCUGAUGGAAGGAGCCAGAAAAAAGGAAAAGGAGAAUAUUGAGGUGAGACGAGAUCUCCAAAUGCCCAGGUCACAACCCCCAGGAGACCUGGAGAACUGAAUGCUGCUGCCCCCAAGGAGGAGGCUGCUGUCUUAUCCCAGGAGGGAGAGCAGGUGAAGUCCCCAGGGGAGGAAGCACCUAGCCCCAUUCCUGCUGAGCAGGAGGUGGCAGGUACCCCAGACUGGGAGGUAAGGACAGCCCGGGGCUUCAACUGGAACGUCUCCAGCCUGGGUCCGACUGAGCAGCCAUGGAGCAUUGCAGAGUGGGAGGCAGCAGGGCAGGGAGGCAGUGCUGGAGGCUGGCUCAACCCCAAGACCAGCAGGCCAAGCUGCCAUCCCAGGGGAGCCGGGACGUCUGUGCAGAGCUGAGAGGCAGCAGCCAUGUGUGAACAGACUGGCCUCAUCCUGGCCCCCCCCGACUUCUUGUGGACAGAGCCUGUUUCCCUGUCUGUGCAACACAGAACCUGCCUGAUCUCACUGCUGGAUCCCUCUUCUUCCUGCCAGGAAAAUAAAAAGGUUCAAAAGGAAGUUGCUGCGUAUCCAUCUG
RNAcentral lists this non-coding RNA (756 nucleotides) under Pongo abelii (Sumatran orangutan). Lineage: Eukaryota; Metazoa; Chordata; Mammalia; Primates; Hominidae. The record is from RNAcentral.